RNAcentral lists this ribosomal RNA (415 nucleotides) under uncultured prokaryote. RNAcentral's name for it is "bacterial SSU rRNA". It matches the Rfam family "Bacterial small subunit ribosomal RNA", at positions 505 to 918 of the family's 1533-position model. The record is from RNAcentral.
GUGUCAGCAGCCGCGGUAAUACGGAGGAUGCAAGCGUUAUCCGGAAUCAUUGGGCGUAAAGCGUCCGCAGGUGGCUGUUCAAGUCUGCUGUUAAAGACAGAAGCUCAACUUCUGAGCAGCAGUGGAAACUGGACAGCUAGAGUACGGUAGGGGUUGAGGGAAUUUCCAGUGUAGCGGUGAAAUGCGUAGAUAUUGGGAAGAACACCAGUGGCGAAGGCGCUCAACUGGGCCGUAACUGACACUCAGGGACGAAAGCUAGGGUAGCGAAAGGGAUUAGAUACCCCUGUAGUCUUAGCUGUAAACGAUGAACACUAGGCGUUGCUUGUAUCGACCCGAGCAGUGCCGUAGCCAACGCGUUAAGUGUUCCGCCUGGGGAGUACGCACGCAAGUGUGAAACUUAAAGGAAUUGACGGGG